Molecule: ribosomal RNA, 468 nt
Filed under: uncultured bacterium
Lineage: Bacteria
Description: partial 16S ribosomal RNA
Rfam family: Bacterial small subunit ribosomal RNA
Source: RNAcentral
GACGAACGCUGGCGGCGUGCUUAACACAUGCAAGUCGAACGGAAAGGCCCUGCUUUUGUGGGGUGCUCGAGUGGCGAACGGGUGAGUAACACGUGAGUAACCUGCCCUUGACUUUGGGAUAACUUCAGGAAACUGGGGCUAAUACCGGAUAGGAGCUCCUGCUGCAUGGUGGGGGUUGGAAAGUUUCGGCGGUUGGGGAUGGACUCGCGGCUUAUCAGCUUGUUGGUGGGGUAGUGGCUUACCAAGGCUUUGACGGGUAGCCGGCCUGAGAGGGUGACCGGCCACAUUGGGACUGAGAUACGGCCCAGACUCCUACGGGAGGCAGCAGUGGGGAAUAUUGCAGAAUGGGCGGAAGCGUGAUGCAGCAACGCCGCGUGCGGGAUGACGGCCUUCGGGUUGUAAACCGCUUUCGCCUGUGACGAAGCGUGAGUGACGGUAAUGGGUAAAGAAGCACCGGCUAACUACGUG